GAGCGAGAAAAGGGGGGCAACUCCCUGAGUACAGCGGCGCACGGGUGAGUAACACGUGGGUAAUCUGCCCUGGAGUGGGGAACAACACCGGGAAACCGGUGCUAAUACCGCAUACGAUCACGAGGUCUGCGGAUCUUGGGAUGAAAGGAGCAAUUCGCUCUAGGAGGAGCCCGCGGCUGAUUAGCUAGUUGGUGAGGUAAUGGCUCACCAAGGCUACGAUCAGUAUCCGGUCUGAGAGGACGGUCGGACACACUGGAACUGAGACACGGUCCAGACUCCUACGGGAGGCAGCAGUGGGGAAUUUUUCGCAAUGGGGGCAACCCUGACGAAGCAACGCCGCGUGGAGGAUGAAAUAUCUUGGUAUGUAAACUCCUUUCGAUAGGGAAGAUAAUGACGGUACCUAUAGAAGAAGCCCCGGCUAACUUCGUG
RNAcentral lists this ribosomal RNA (429 nucleotides) under uncultured bacterium. Its description in RNAcentral is "bacterial SSU rRNA". It matches the Rfam family "Bacterial small subunit ribosomal RNA", at positions 64 to 507 of the family's 1533-position model. The record is from RNAcentral.